CGGGCUAUCAUGCAGUCGAGCGGAUCUUGUCCUUCGGGACAGGGUUAGCGGCGGACGGGUGAGUAACACGUAUCGCAACCUGCCCUCGAGACUGGGAUAACCUCCGGAAACGGAUGCUAAUACCGGAUAUGCAGCCUCUCCUCCUGGAGGGAUCGCGAAAGACCGAGCAAUCUGUCGCUUGGCGAUGGGCCUGCGGCUCAUUAGCUAGUUGGUGGGGUAACGGCUCAACAAGGCGACGAUGCGCAGACAACCUGAGAGGGUGAUCUGCCACUCUGAGACUGAGACAACUCCCAGACUCCUACGGGAGGCAGAAUUUUGGAAUCUUCCGCAAUGGACGCUCGUCUGACGGAGCAACGCCGCGUGAGUGAGGAAGGCCUUCGGGUCGUUUUGCUCUGUUGCCAGGGAAGAACGGGUGGAAGAGUAACUGCUUCCGCCAUGACGGUACCUGAGAAGAAAGCCCCGGCUAACUACGUGCCAGCAGCCGCGGUAAUACGUAGGGUGCAAGCGUUGUCCGGAAUUAUUGGCCGUAAAGCGCGCGCAGGCGGCUUUGUUGGUCCGGUGUUUAAUCUUGGCGCUCAACCCCAAGUCGCACUGAAACUGCAAGGCUUGAGUGCAGAAGAGGAAAGUGCAAUUCCACGUGUAGCGGUGAAAUGCGUAGAGAUGUGGAGGAACACCAGUGGCGAACGCCACUUUCUGGGCUGUAACUGACGCUGAGACGCGAAAGCGUGGGGAGCAAACAGGAUUACAUGCCCUGCUAGUCCACACCGUAUACGAUGAAUGCUAUGUGUUAGGGGUUUCUAUACCCUUGGUGCCGAAGUUGACACAAUCCGCAUUCCGCCUGGGGACUACGCUCGCAAGAUUGAAACUCAAGGAAUU
RNAcentral lists this ribosomal RNA (876 nucleotides) under Paenibacillus sp. Its description in RNAcentral is "bacterial SSU rRNA". It matches the Rfam family "Bacterial small subunit ribosomal RNA", at positions 43 to 911 of the family's 1533-position model. Lineage: Bacteria; Bacillati; Bacillota; Bacilli; Caryophanales; Paenibacillaceae. The record is from RNAcentral.